UAUUAUAUAUGUUUUUGUCACACAUGUGACAUGUGUUUAGAAAAAGUGAUUAGAUUUAAAAAAAAAGGGAAAUUUGGCGCUAACAACUUUGGUUAUUCUUACUUCUACUUGCGGUUUACCAACAAAUGGAGAGCAACCUCAGAGCUACCUCAAAAAGAAUGAUACAUUUUUAGAAGCAGGCGUCUCAUAUCACACAAAUAUUUGCAAUUACGAAAGGGCAUUUACAGUUAUUGCCUCGGAUAUAUCAUACGUAUGUAUGUAUGUCCGCCGCUGAGCACUUAUAUGUCCCACCUGAGAGGCAUCCUGUACUCAAUGCCUCCGGUUAGCAUGCAAGUUGAAUUUMACAAAGAAAUCUACAUAUGUAUAUGUAUAUGAAAUAGUGAUCAGAUAAAGAAGAAAAGAGCCGCAAAACAAUUCAACAAUUGAAGACUAUAUCCGAAAAAUCGAAAAAGCAGGGUGUGCACACUGACUGAAAAUAUGUUUCAACGAAUAACUUGCAUUUGGAAAUUAGAUAAAGAUUCUUGUUUUUGCGUUUGUUGGCCAUAAGGAACGUUUAAAUUGCCAACUCACCAUUGCACCAUAAAAGGAUCGUCAUCCCACGCGAGUGGUGUAGUCACUAAAACACUCCCUUGCCCAGGGACAGCUURAGGAUGGAGCAAUGUGUAGAAGUUUGAGCGUCMUUCACUUGGGAGUGGCCAUAAAUGAUUAUUUUACUUUUUCAAUGUGCUAGCGAGCUAAAGCRAGAA
Bactrocera latifrons is the source of this 746-nucleotide long non-coding RNA. RefSeq lists it as uncharacterized. The transcript is spliced from 2 exons. NCBI's taxonomy places the organism in Eukaryota, Metazoa, Arthropoda, Insecta, Diptera, Tephritidae. The record is from RefSeq and is a predicted model, not a curated record.